This 160-nucleotide ribosomal RNA is filed under the name Lejeunea exilis. RNAcentral describes it as "5.8S ribosomal RNA". It matches the Rfam family "5.8S ribosomal RNA". From Rfam's summary of the family: 5.8S ribosomal RNA (5.8S rRNA) is a component of the large subunit of the eukaryotic ribosome. It is transcribed by RNA polymerase I as part of the 45S precursor that also contains 18S and 28S rRNA. Lineage: Eukaryota; Viridiplantae; Streptophyta; Jungermanniopsida; Porellales; Lejeuneaceae. The record is from RNAcentral.
AAAAUGACUCUCAGCAACGGAUAUCUUGGCUCUUGCAACGAUGAAGAACGCAGCGAAAUGCGAUACCUAGUGUGAAUUGCAGAAUUCCGCGAAUCNUCGAGUUUUUGAACGCAAGUUGCGCCCGAGGCUCGUCUGAGGGCAUNNNUGCCUGAGCGUCCGC